This 194-nucleotide ribosomal RNA is filed under the name uncultured bacterium. Its description in RNAcentral is "partial 16S ribosomal RNA". It matches the Rfam family "Bacterial small subunit ribosomal RNA", at positions 338 to 524 of the family's 1533-position model. The record is from RNAcentral.
CCUACGGGAGGCAGCAGUAGGGAAUCUUCCGCAAUGGACGAAAGUCUGACGGAGCAACGCCGCGUGAGCGAAGAAGGCCUUCGGGUCGUAAAGCUCUGUUGUUAGGGAAGAACAAGUAACGCAGUAACUGGCGUUACUAUGACGGUACCUAACGAGAAAGCCACGGCUAACUACGUGCCAGCAGCCGCGGUAAU